RNAcentral lists this ribosomal RNA (473 nucleotides) under uncultured bacterium. RNAcentral's name for it is "bacterial SSU rRNA". It matches the Rfam family "Bacterial small subunit ribosomal RNA", at positions 329 to 793 of the family's 1533-position model. The record is from RNAcentral.
CUACGCACUCCUACGGGAGGCAGCAGUGGGGGAAUAUUGCACAAUGGGCGCAAGCCUGAUGCAGCCAUGCCGCGUGUAUGAAGAAGGCCUUACGGGUUGUAAAGUACUUUCAGCAGUGAGGAAGGUGGGUAUGUUAAUAGCAUACUCAUUUGACGUUAGCUGCAGAAGAAGCACCGGCUAACUCCGUGCCAGCAGCCGCGGUAAUACGGAGGGUGCGAGCGUUAAUCGGAAUUACUGGGCGUAAAGCGCAUGCAGGUGGUUUGUUAAGUCAGAUGUGAAAGCCCGGGGCUCAACCUCGGAAUUGCAUUUGAAACUGGCAAACUAGAGUACUGUAGAGGGGGUAGAAUUUCAGGUGUAGCGGUGAAAUGCGUAGAGAUCUGAAGGAAUACCGGUGGCGAAGGCGGCCCCCUGGACAGAUACUGACACUCAGAUGCGAAAGCGUGGGGAGCAAACAGGAUUAGAUACCCUGGUAG